This is a long non-coding RNA of Hippocampus comes (tiger tail seahorse), 466 nucleotides long. RefSeq lists it as uncharacterized. Lineage: Eukaryota; Metazoa; Chordata; Actinopteri; Syngnathiformes; Syngnathidae. The record is from RefSeq and is a predicted model, not a curated record. The transcript is spliced from 3 exons.
AAAAUUAAAGCAAGGUUCAACUUUUUGGGCCAUGAUUCCAAAAGGUAUGUUUCACGCAAAUACAACACUGCUCAUUCCCGAAAAAAGACCGUACCCGCGUGAAAUAUGGCGGUUGUAGCAUAAGGCUUUGGGGCUGUUUUUUGUCAGCUGCAAUUUGGGCCUUAUAUAUAUGGUGAUGGGAAUUAUGAACAGUUCCAAAUCCCUUUACUAGUCGGUGUUUGCACAUAUCCUUUAAAAUCCCGCUAGGAGCAGCAAAUUGUUAGGAAAAGCCUCGUAUGGGUCCAAUAAUUGAACAUUAUAAUAUUGCGAAGGCAACUGUACUUCUGGUGCAUUUUUUUUUUGUUUUAAAUGAUCUAUGAGCAGUUCAUUUUUAGGAGUAAUGCUGUAGGAUGAGUUUGGAAUUGUAGUAUUGUGUUUUGAGGUGGGGGCGGGGGACUCAAUUACUUCCUAUAUCAUACAUCAACAA